UUGCCCAUUAAUUGUGGGCUAGAAUGAAAGGAACUACGAAAAAGAACUAUUUAAUAAUAUUAAAAUAACUAUUCUAAAGUGAAGAAACUUUUAUAACAUUAAAGGACAAGAAGACCCUAUAGAGCUUUAUCUUACCUAGUAUUUUACUACUACAGAUCGGUUGGGGCGACCCAGGAUAAAUCAUCUAAUUAAAUAAUUAUAAAUAAACUACGAUCCUAUCAUAAUUACAAUAAGCUACCUUAGGGAUAACAGGCUAAUUUCAUUAAAGAGCUCCUAUCAACAAUGAAAUUGGCACCUCG
Molecule: ribosomal RNA, 299 nt
Filed under: Grania hongkongensis
Lineage: Eukaryota; Metazoa; Annelida; Clitellata; Enchytraeida; Enchytraeidae
Description: partial 16S ribosomal RNA
Rfam family: Bacterial large subunit ribosomal RNA (bases 75-299)
Source: RNAcentral